AUGGCCGAAUGCUUCAAUUGGGUGCUCAAAGGUGCACGUGGAUUACCCGCGACGGCAAUAGUUCAAUACACAUUUGACAAGAUGAAUGCGUACUUUCUAAAGUACUCGAUGGAAACUGAUGCAUAGAUAGCGGGUGAGAACCCGCGCAAGUACAAGUACAAGUUCCCACCCAAGAUUGAUGAAUGGUUAGAAUUUCAAUCACGAAAGGCGGACUCAGACGAAGCUAUAUUAUAUGACAACGAAGAGUGGAAGUAUGAAGUGAAAGAGUUAGGAGGAACCACAAACGAUGGCCAGCAACAUGGAGGUCGGGCUUUCAAGGUGUCGUUAACACAAUGUGAUUGCUCUUGCGGGAGGCCAUUGCUACUUCAUCUCUCAUGCUCACACUUGUAUACCGCCGGUCACGUUAGAAAUGUGGACAUCAAUCACCCACGCACCGUGAGGGAGUUGGAGUUCUCAAUCAUGACGGUCAAGAAAACAUGGGCUCCCCGCUUUCACCCAUACUUUGACCAAUCACAAUGGCCGGAGUACCAUGGAGUUCAACUAUGGACGGAUCCGGAGUUGAAGGUUGUUGCACUGCUCAGUGUGGCGUCUCCGGACUAG
RNAcentral lists this ribosomal RNA (600 nucleotides) under Triticum aestivum (bread wheat). RNAcentral describes it as "partial small subunit ribosomal RNA". Lineage: Eukaryota; Viridiplantae; Streptophyta; Magnoliopsida; Poales; Poaceae. The record is from RNAcentral.